GCCUCUUUAGCGCAGCAGACGGCGCGUCAGUAUCAUAAUAGAAUGUAGAAGUCUGAAUGUCGUGAGUUCGAUCCUUACACGGGGCA
This 86-nucleotide transfer RNA is filed under the name Nematostella vectensis (starlet sea anemone). The record is from Rfam by way of RNAcentral. Lineage: Eukaryota; Metazoa; Cnidaria; Anthozoa; Actiniaria; Edwardsiidae.